Molecule: long non-coding RNA, 440 nt
Filed under: Homo sapiens (human)
Lineage: Eukaryota; Metazoa; Chordata; Mammalia; Primates; Hominidae
Description: non-protein coding lnc-ULBP2-2:5
Source: RNAcentral
GAGGAGCUGUUCAGCCACUUGCAGAGACAGCCAGAGAGUGCUUCAAGGACUGCGUGGAGCUCUGGAGAAGCAGGGAAUUCAGGGCCCUCUUUUGUGAGGCAUGAGAAAUUUAGGCAGGAUCAUGUCUACAAAAGAGGCUGUCACUUUGGCUUAUCAAUAUUUUCACCUCGUUACCCCUUCCAGAUCAGAAUGGGUGCUUUAUUUGUUUUUAUGGAUUAUUGUGUCAACCAAAACGAGAGUUCAGAGUCACUCUAAAGAUUUGAAACUCCUUCAAGAUUUGAUGAAUGCGCAUUUUGAUGCCACAUCUAUUUUUAGAAAGCUGUGGCUGAAUAAAGCAUUUUAUUGUAUAGCAUUACCCAAGUUAACAGAAGAAUUGUGGGACCCAAAUGACCAAAUAAUGUGAUUUUUCACUUUUGAUGAAUUAAAGGGUAUGCUGAGUG